GUAAGUGCACUUCGACACUGAACUGAUAAUUUUUUAUACAAAAAGAAAAGCCAUAUUUUUUUUCACAAAGAGGCCGUAAGAACAUUCCAGCACCGGAAAUUGAUUUGAGAAAAAUCUAAACGUGAACAAAAUCGAUUGAUGUCAAUAUUACAUUUUAUAAAGGCAUCAGGGCCCAUGCAUGAGUAUAAGAUUGACAAUACAGUACAUCUGGGAGGUAGCACACGCAGGGACGUCACUGAUGUCCCGUGCGUGCGCCCUUACGAUUGGAGGAAUGGGGGAGCGGUGCAUCGAGGAGGAGGACGACGCGCACAUGUUUGGACUCAUUGCCUGCCUCAGUGAUGUCCCACCUUGGACGGCAAAAGGCUGAGUGGCAGCAUGACGUGCUGAUUACAGCCAGACCAGGAAGAAGACGGCGGGGAAGAAACAAAGCGGGAUCCCGGGACACCGGGGGGAGCGAUUGCAGGAAUCUGAUAGAAAGGACAGUAGAGAGCUAAGAAGAUGCUUGUUCACCCACAUUUCAUGGAGUUUGUCCCACCCUGUUCUUCAGCUGGAACGAAGAGGAUGCUGCAGCAGGACACGAUUAUAUUCUGGAUGCUCCUAUGUGGACAAUGUGGCCCAUAUUUAUCAUUGUAGUGAGCCAAAAGACAGACCAGAGAAGAAGACUGCAGCAGAGCGGCAGAGGGCAGCCCCAUCUUGACUCUUGGGACCCCCAAGAUUACACUGAGGAAUCCAACUGUAAAUUCCAGGAGCUGUGGUACUAUCCUUAGAGGCAUCACUGUACUAUAGCUCGCAAAUGCUUUAGAAACAUCAUUCUUUUCCUUGCAAAUUCUGAACAAAUGGAUUUUCCAGCUCCCUGAGGAGCAUCCACUGCUUUCCUGAGGAGAGUUCAGGGAGGCGCUUCCUAUAUUUGGCAAGAAGAGGAACCAUUAACAGAUGAGAAAACAUAUCUCACCCAUCUAAUCUGCUCGCCAUCAGUUUGCCUAUUUGUGCAGAAAGCAGCAAUUUCUUCUAUAAGCAAUGCAAAGAAAACUGUUAAAACCCAACAUACUAGCUCUGGCCUUUCUUUUCUUUUAUUAUUGGCUUCCCAAGACUUACUUGGCAUAACAUUUUGUUAUGAUUAUUAUCUGUGCCAGGUGGGGGAGCACAGAUCAGUGUUCUCUGAAGUGGCAACGUGCGGUGCAAAUGGCCAAAUCACCAGCAACUGGUCGUAACAGCAUUAUUUAUACACAUGUUCCCCAUGGAGUCCAUUGGUGCAUUAACUAAGCCAGGAGGCUAGCCCACCCUAGUGGCUUUCAAGAAGCAACUGCAUAAAAAAAUGUGUACUGAAAAGCAUCCUCUGAUUUUCCAGUUUGUAAAGAAAAGUCCAUCUUUGUCUCAAUGAAAAAUACAGUAAA
This is a long non-coding RNA of Hyla sarda, 1394 nucleotides long. RefSeq lists it as uncharacterized. The record is from RefSeq and is a predicted model, not a curated record. Lineage: Eukaryota; Metazoa; Chordata; Amphibia; Anura; Hylidae. The transcript is spliced from 7 exons.